UUUUUUUUCAUCAAAUGCAUAUGCCCCCAGGUUCUGUUUUACAAAUGAGGCUCUGGUUCCUGUUUAUGCAACCAACUGGUCUGAGUGGUUAGACGAACAAAAAAAACUGGCAAAAGUCUCCCCUGAAUCUCCUGUGAGGGCACUACCUUUGAGGGUGCCCUUGAUUGGCUAUGCUUGAAUUUGCCCGGGAAUGAGCUUCCAUUGAAGUUUUCUACUGGCACUUCUCUCUAUUCAAAUGAAGGAGGUGCUGUUAGCAUCAUAUCAACUGCACGGGAAGAUUGGAGUCCUGUGGUGGAUUCGUCUGAUAAGAAUGAGGAGGAAACACCUAAAAUUUCUGUUAGAAUUAAGGGACGUUCAGAUGAUGAUACUCUAAAUUCUUUCCAGCGAUCACAAGCAGAUUGGAUCCGGCAAUAUGUGGAACAACAAGAAGAGGAUGCUUCCGAAAGUUGGGAAGAUGAUGCAGUUGAUAAGGUCGGUACUCUAACUGGAGCAGAGGCAUCACUAGGUUUAGUACCGCUGUUGCAUUCGAGGAACCAAUCACACCGCCUGUUAAACUUUUUCAGGAAAGAUCACGAAUAAUGUUGCGGUUUGCUGAUUUGCUUGAGAAGCACAGUGAUCAUAUUGCGGCUCUUGAAACUUGGGAUAAUGGGAACAGGCUGCAAAUGAAGAAAUACCAUUGGUGUGGUAAAUGGUAGCUAAUUUGGCAUGGUAGAAAUUAGCAUAUAUGCUAAUUUAGGUUGUGGUACAUAUGUCCUUUUUGUUAAUUAAUUUG
Camellia sinensis is the source of this 772-nucleotide long non-coding RNA. RefSeq lists it as uncharacterized. The record is from RefSeq and is a predicted model, not a curated record. Lineage: Eukaryota; Viridiplantae; Streptophyta; Magnoliopsida; Ericales; Theaceae.